This 68-nucleotide transfer RNA is filed under the name Marmota monax (woodchuck). RNAcentral describes it as "tRNA.Ala". The record is from RNAcentral. Lineage: Eukaryota; Metazoa; Chordata; Mammalia; Rodentia; Sciuridae.
GGUUUGUGGCUCAGUGAUAGAGCUCUUGCCUAGCAUGCGUGAGGCAUUGGGUUCAAUUCUCAGCACUG